This 666-nucleotide ribosomal RNA is filed under the name Salmonella enterica. Its description in RNAcentral is "partial 23S ribosomal RNA". It matches the Rfam family "Bacterial large subunit ribosomal RNA", at positions 2164 to 2925 of the family's 2925-position model. Lineage: Bacteria; Pseudomonadati; Pseudomonadota; Gammaproteobacteria; Enterobacterales; Enterobacteriaceae. The record is from RNAcentral. RNAcentral also lists the same sequence under 1 other name.
GUGGACGCCAGUCUGCAUGGAGCCGACCUUGAAAUACCACCCUUUAAUGUUUGAUGUUCUAACGUGGACCCGUGAUCCGGGUUGCGGACAGUGUCUGGUGGGUAGUUUGACUGGGGCGGUCUCCUCCUAAAGAGUAACGGAGGAGCACGAAGGUUGGCUAAUCCUGGUCGGACAUCAGGAGGUUAGUGCAAUGGCAUAAGCCAGCUUGACUGCGAGCGUGACGGCGCGAGCAGGUGCGAAAGCAGGUCAUAGUGAUCCGGUGGUUCUGAAUGGAAGGGCCAUCGCUCAACGGAUAAAAGGUACUCCGGGGAUAACAGGCUGAUACCGCCCAAGAGUUCAUAUCGACGGCGGUGUUUGGCACCUCGAUGUCGGCUCAUCACAUCCUGGGGCUGAAGUAGGUCCCAAGGGUAUGGCUGUUCGCCAUUUAAAGUGGUACGCGAGCUGGGUUUAGAACGUCGUGAGACAGUUCGGUCCCUAUCUGCCGUGGGCGCUGGAGAACUGAGGGGGGCUGCUCCUAGUACGAGAGGACCGGAGUGGACGCAUCACUGGUGUUCGGGUUGUCAUGCCAAUGGCACUGCCCGGUAGCUAAAUGCGGAAGAGAUAAGUGCUGAAAGCAUCUAAGCACGAAACUUGCCCCGAGAUGAGUUCUCCCUGAGACUUAGAGUC